GUAAUGCCUGGGAAAUUGCCCGGAAGAGGGGCCUUUCCAUUGGAAACGAUGGCUAAUACCGCAUAACCUCUCAAGAGCAAAGAGGGGGACCUUCGGGCCUCGCGCUUCCGGAUAUGCCCAGGUGGGAUUAGCUAGUUGGUGAGGUAAGGGCUCACCAAGGCGACAAUCCCUAUCUGGUCUGAGAGGAUGAUCAGCCUCACUGGAACUGAGACACAGCCCAGACUCCUACGGGAGGCAGCAAUGGGGAAUAUUGCGCAAUGUGCGCAAGCCUGAUGCAGCCAUGCCGCGUGUAUGAAGAAGGCCUUCUGGUUGUAAAGUACUUUCAAUAAGGAGGAAGGUGGUAGAGUUAAUACCCUUAUCAUUUGACGUUACCUACCGAAGAAGCACCGGCUAACUCCGUGCCAACAGACGCGGAAAUACUGAGGGUGCAAGCGUUAAUCGGAAUUACUGGGCGUAAAGCGCAUGCAGGUGGUUUGU
RNAcentral lists this ribosomal RNA (477 nucleotides) under uncultured bacterium. Its description in RNAcentral is "bacterial SSU rRNA". It matches the Rfam family "Bacterial small subunit ribosomal RNA", at positions 110 to 583 of the family's 1533-position model. The record is from RNAcentral.